AGUGGUCUAUUAUGUCAUUCAAGUUUUCGUUCAAAUGACUGUAGCUCCUAACUUUUACAACUGUCAAUCUGUCACUUGAUUAUUUUGAACAUAGGAUGACUUAUUUCAAGUGAACAAUGUAAUAAGUCACCGACAUUUGGUUCAGUGUGCCAAUUCUCUCCCUUCCCUUACAUAACUAUUAUUAGGAAAUCUAGACGUGGCCCAAUCAAGUCACGAAGAGGGAUUGUAAAACGAAGACUUCAGUUAUAACACCCAAAAAGUGAAAACCGGUCAAACAGCUGUAACCAGACAGACCAUUACAUGGCAGACGUCCUCCCAGUCAGACUCUGGGGCCCUGGGGGUAUUGUGAUGUACCGUUGAAGGUCCACUGUGUGUGCAGCUCUUCAGUCCAAAGUAGGCAAAGUCUACUUCGUGCAGUCAGCCAGGUAUGCAGAAGACAACUUCUGGAGUCAGUUCUGUCAACCAUGUGGGUCUCAGGGAUGGAACUCAGUUGGUCAUGAUUGGCAGCAAGCACCUUUACCUGCUGACCCACCUCAGCACUCCUGAUGGAGCAGAUGUAGAUGAACAAUAUCAUCUAUGAAACAUUCCAAACAAAACUAACUUGAAUCCAUCAAGCCUUCCCAUCAAACACGCAAUUUUUUUAAUUUGUUUUAUUAUUUUUUGAUGUCUGUGUGUUAUGUCUGCAUGUAUGUCUGUGUGCCAUGUUUGUUCCCGGUGCCCCCUGAAGUCAGAAGAAGGAAUCAGAUCCCCUAGAACUGGAGUUUCAGAAAGAUGAGCUGCAGGUGGGGGCUGGGAAUUGAACCUGUGUCCUCUGGAAGAGCAGCUGGUGCUCUUAACAGCUGAACACCUCUCCAGUGCCAAACACACCAUUUAUAAGAAAUACAACAGGUGAAAUAACAAAUUCUGUGCCAUUCUGGAGGAUAACUGGUGUAUAAGCUUCAACAAUGUAUCAUCCUGGAAGAAACAAUGGCUGUGUGGGGAAAAAAAAAAUCUAAGGGACAUUACAGCCUGACCCAGAUCCUAUUCUGAACAGACAAGCUAUAAAACACCUUUCAGCACAAUUGAAGGAGGAACGAAAGCAUGGAAUAUUUGAUAAGAUGAAGUUGUGUUGCCAUGCAAGCCUUGGAGGUCAUUAAGAAAACGGCAAGUCACAAAAUGGUGUGUGUGCAGUAGUAUCUCGGUUUUAAAAAGUUAAAUGUGUGUGUUUACAGACUAUGAAACAGGAUUUACCCUGAGGUUGUGCUGAUUACAAUCUUUGGAAGUAAAAUCAUACAUUUUUUUAUCUUAUAUUUAUCUUCAUGUAAUAUUUUUGCUUUAUACAUUACAUUUGUUCAUUAACAAUGAAAUUUAUUUUAUGAAAGUUUAUUUUAUUUAUUCAUUUGCAUUUACUUUUUUUUUUUUUCGGAGCUGGGGACCGAACCCAGGGCCUUACGCUUCCUAGGUAAGCACUCUACCACUGAGCUAAAUCCCCAGCCCGCAUUUACUUUUUUAAUUCGGGGGGAAACGAGUAAACGAGUGUGUGUGUGUGUGUGUGUGUGUGUGUGUGUGUGUGUGUCAAAGGACGACUUGUAGGAAUCUUUCUGGCCCAGCUCAGGUCUUCAGUCUGGCCUGUGGAGGUCAAGGACACCUUGGGGGACUCAGUUCUACUGCUAUGUGAGUUCUGUGAAUUAAACUCGGGUCAUUGGGCUUGGAGACAACUGCAUUACCUGCUCAACCAUCUCACCAGAUCUACCUGUUUAUAUUUUUUUAAAGAUUGAUUGUAUUUUUGAAAAGUGUGAGUGUGUGUGUGUGUGUGUGUGUGGUGUGAUAUGUGGUGUAUGUGUGUGUCUGUGUGGUGUAUGUGUGUGUCUGUGUGUGUAUGUGGUGUGAUAUGUGGUGUGUAUGUGGUGUGAUAUGUGGUGUGUAUGUGUGUAUGUGUGUGUGGGGGUGGGUGGGUGGUGUGGUGUGUGGGGUGUGUGUGUGUGGUGUGGUGUGAGGGUGUGUGUGUGUCUGUAUGUGUAUAGUGUGUGUGUGGUGUGUGUGUGUGUGAGUGGGUGGGUGGGUGGUGUGGAGUGUGUGUGGUAUGUGGUGUGUAUGUGUGUGGUAUGUGGGGUGUGUGUGUGGAGGGUGUACGUGUGCGUAUGUGUGUGUGUUGAACUGGAAGUUUCUGGUUGAGUAAUGUAAUGCAGACUCACAUGGUGUUUUGCUGGAGCAGACUCAUGUGAUGCUGAAGCAAACCCCUGAGAGGACACGUGAUGUGUAUAAGGUAUAAGGAGGGCCCGACAGACAGUGACAGGAUGCUCGCACUGCUAGCCAUGCAACGCUUCCUCAAUCUCACGUCUUUGGUGAUCUUCACUUCCUUGAGAGAGGCACAGCAGAGAACUGCCUUGAAUUUCAGCUGGGUCUGGUUGCUUCCGAGGACUUGUGCCUAUCUGGUAAAGGCCUGGCUGGAUCUGACUGCUGCCACUGAUUCGUGUUUGGUGACACUCUUUGAACUGAACUGUUGGUAUCCUGAUGACACCCUGGAAUCACCCGCCAAGAGCAAGUUUUUUUUUUUUUUUUCGGAGCUGAGGACCGAACCCAGGGCCUUGUGCUUGCUAGGCAAGCGCUCUACCACUGAGCUAAAUCCCCAACCCCAAGAGCAAGUUUUAAAUAGGUCUAAAGAUCCCCUAUUUACCAUCUUUUCUCCCCUGCCUUUAGAUAGUGGCCUAGAAGGGGCGGGGGGGGGGGUGGUGGAGAUCAAAGCAUUUGAGAACCCUUAUUUAAGUGUACAUGUGAUACACAGACAUGCAUGCAGGCAAAACACCAAUACACACAAAAUGAAAAUAAAUAUGUUUUGAGUCAGAAAUUCUCUGUGUAGCCCUGGCUGUCCUAGAACUCUCUCUCUCUCUCUGUAGACCAGGCUGGCUUCGAACUCACAGAGAACCACUUGCCUCUGCCUCCCAGAUGCUGGCAUAAAGGGUGCACCACCAAAAGCGUUCUCUUCUACUUGCUUUGGGGUGAUGCAGGUCGAGAUGAGACAAGGGCACAGAAGCAAGAUUACAAAAGAAGUUGCAGUUUGCAAAGUGUUCCAGCAAGACACAUGUCGUGCUGCUGGGGCAGCUCUAAGGCCUGCCGCUUUGAGAGAUCAACCAGUGUCAAAAUGUGAUUGCCCAGCUAAGCCCACGAGAAAGCGCACCUGGAGUGCCAAGAGGAAGAGUUGAAGUACUACUGGGACCAGAUUGAAAGGAGGCACUUAAAACAUGCCUAUCACAGAGUCAGGCAUGAAUUCACAAAGGGGUACUGUGACCCUAGACCUAGGAGGGGAACUCCUGCAGCAUCUGGCUUCUCUCAUAGAUCCCCACAAGCAUCAAAACAUUCUGAUUUUUAAAACUAACUUUAGGGGCUGGGGAUUUAGCUCAGUGGUAGAGCACUUACCUAGGAAGCACAAGGCCCUGGGUUCGGUCCCCAGCUCCGAAAAAAGAACCAAAAAAAAAAAAAACUAACUUUAAAAAGCCAAUCCAUUUGAUUAUCCCUUGGGAAAGUAAGAUUGAUACAAAGUUUCUCUAGGUAGCCAAGGAGGGCCUGGGAAUUGCUCUGCAUUGGCAAAUAACCCCCAAUCUUUGAUCCUCCUGCCUCCACAGGGGUGCUGGGAUCAUAGGCCACACCCACCCAUCUCGGUAAUGAUUUUUUAUUUAUUUUUAUUUAUUCAUUUUACAUCCUGACCACUGCCUCCCACUCCAGUCCCCCCUCCCACAAUCCUGCCCCCAUCCCCCUUCCCUUCUCCUCUGAGAAAGUGAGACAUCGAGUCUCUUCAGGGCUUGGCACAUUCUCUCCCACUGAGGCCAAACAAGGCAGCCCAGCUAGAAGAACAUAUUCCACGGAGAGGCGGCAGCUUUAGGAAUACCCCCCCACCCCGCUCCAGCUGUUCGGGACCCACAUGAAGACUGAGCUGCACAUCUACUACCUAUGUGCAGGGAGGCCUAGGUGCAGCCCAUGUAUGCGCUUUGGUUGGUGGUUCAGUCUCUGGGAUCCUCAAGGGCCCAGGUGAGUUGACUCUGUUGGUCUUCCUGUGGAGUUCCUGUCCCCUCAAUCCUUCCCCCAGCUCUUCCAUAUAAGAGUCCCCAAGCUCCAUUCACUGUUUGACUGUGGGUCUCUGCAUCCAUCUGAGUCAGCUGCUAAGUGGAGCCCUUUAGAGGAUUAGAGGACAGCCAUGCUAGCUUCUGUCUCCGUGCAUAACAGAGCAUCAUUAAUAGUGUCAGGGGUUGGUGCUUGCCCUUGGGAUGGGUCUGAAGUUGGGCCAGUUAUUGCCCUCAGUCUCUGCUCCAUUCCACCCCUGAAUUUCUUGUGGACAGGGUGAGUUUUGGGGCAAAAGCCUUGUGGGUGGGCUGGUGACCUUAUAGCUCCCCCAGGGUUCCUGCCUGGUCACAGGAGGUGGCCCCUUCAGGAUCCAUAUCCCCAAUGCUGUGAGGCACACUAAGGUCAUCCCCAUUGAUUCUUGGGUGCCUCCCUUAUCCCAGGUCUCUGACAGAUCCUUGAGAUGCUCCCCACCUUCCCACCCCCCUGACAGUUGCAGAUUUCCAUUCAUUCUCAUGGCCAUCUGGCCAUCUCUCCUGUCCCUCCUCACUCCUAAUCCCCUCCCCAUCUCCUCUCUCACCCAGGUCCCUCCCUCCAUCCAUCUGCCUCUUAUGACUAUUUUAUUCCCCCUUCUAAGUGAGAUUCAAGCAUCCUCACUUGUUCCUUUCUUCUUUAGCUUCUGGGUCUGUGGAGCGUGGAUAUGGUACCUAUAUUUUAUGGCUAAUAUCCACUUAUAGGUGAGCACAUACCAUGCAUGUCCUUUUGGGUCUGGGUUGCCUCACUCAGGGUGAUAGUCUCAAGCUUCAUCCAUUUGCCUGCAAAGUUCUUGAUGUCUUUGCUUUUCAUAGCUGAGUAGUAUUCCACUGUGUAGACAUACUACAUUCUAUUUACCUAUUCUUCAGUUGAGAGAUGUCCAGGUUGUUUCCAGUUUCUGGCUAUGAACAAAGCUGCUAUGAACACAGUCGAGCAAGUGUCCUUAAGGGUGAAGCAUCGUUUGGGUAUAGGCCCAGGAGUGGUGUAACUGGGUCUUGGUGUAGAGCUGGUUUUCUGAGAAACUGACAAAUUGAUUUCCAGAGUGGCUGUACAAGUUUGCACUCCUACCAGCAAUGAAGGUGCUUUCCUCUUACUCUGCAUCCUCGUGGGCUAUCACUUGAGUUUUUGAUCUUAGUCACUCUGACGGGCGUAAGAUAGAAUCUCAGAGUUGUUUUGAUUUGCAUUUCUCUGAUGACUAAGGACAUUUCUUUAAGUGCUUCACAGCCAUCUCUGUUGAGAAUUCUCUGUUUAGCUCUGUACCCCAUUUUUAAUUGGGUUAUUUAGGCUGUUGUUGUCUAAUUACUUGAAUUCUUUAAAAUUUUGGAUAUUAGCCCUCUGUCAGUUGUUGGGUUGGUGAAGAUCCUUUCCCAAUCUGUAGGCUUCCGUUUUGUCCAAUGACACUGUCCUUUGCCUUAUAGAAGCUUUUCAGUUUCAUCAGGUCCUAUUUAUCAAUUGUUGAUCUCAGAGCCUGAACCAUUGGUGUUCAUCUUUUUACCAGUACUUAAGAGAUCUUAGUAACAGCGAAAAUUCUUCUUGUUGUGUGUCCUAUAUCCCCUGAACCACAAGGGGGAGCAGAGGCCCAGGAACACGUAGAAAGAUUAGCAUGACCAAGAUUGUCUUAGACUUCUGCAGUCUCUGGAGCUGUGGCUCUAAAGGAACAGCUGACGCUCCCUGGCAUCAACAUCCUCCUCCUUCCCCAACAGAAAGGCCAGCAUUGUUUCUAAACACUGAGACAAGCAGAACAGAAUCUCCCCAGGAGGAGAAGGAGGGUAAGUGACCUUGGUAAGGAGUGAUGUGGGGUGGGAAGGCCGGGUACACAUUUUGCUGGGCCAAGAGGAUGACGUAUGCUUGUCUGGGUUUGUGAGGGACGCUCAUGCCACAGUGUCCUAACCCUGCAUGGAAAUGCAACUCUUGGGUUGGCCAAGCUUCAACAAUACCUAAACCCCGGAUGACAAGACACCCUCUCUUUCCCGCCAUCCAGGGGGUUCCUGUUACCCAGGCACCUUUGUUUCUUUUCUGUUGUUGUGAUAGAAUACCCUGACAAAGGCAGCAUAGGGGAGAACGGGUUUAUUUUCCCUCCCAAUUCCAUGUCGCAGUCUAUCCUUGUGGGGAAGUCAAGGUAGCAGAAUUGAAGCAGCUAGUUCUAUAACAACAGCAGUCAAAGCAACUAAUUAAUACCUGCACGCUGGCGCUCAUCAAGAUGUCUCCCUUCUCACACAGUUCAGGACCCCCCCUGUCCAGAGCACGUUGUCUCUCACAACACACUGGUCUUCCCACCGAUUAACACAAUCCAGCCCGAUGUCCAGGUGGUUCUACCCACUGCCAUAGUGACAGUCAAAGGUAACCUGAGCUCAAGACCCAGGGAACAAAUGGCGAAAGAAAGACCAGACAUCCCCAACUUGUCCUCUGACUUCUGUCUGUGCACACAAAGGAAAUGCAUGCCAAUUAAUAAGGUGGAAAGUAACUGAGGAAGAGACCUGAUAUCAACCUCUGUCCUGCACAUGCAUGCCAUGUACACAUACAAACAUGUUAUAUGUGUAUACCUCAUACACCGACUAUUCAAUCAGCGGGUUCCUUUGGUUUUUUUACUUUUUCUAUUUGAUUGGAGACAGGGUCAAGUGCAUCGAAGGCUGGCCUUGAACUCAUCACAAAGCCGAAAGUGAAAGUGAUCUUCAGUCUCUUCCUCCACCCUGACCUUUCCAUUACCACCGUCCUGAUUCCUGUCAGUGGUGUCUCCCACUAUGUGUGGGUUUGCUUAUUUCCUUGAUGGCUAAACAUGUUGAGCACUUUUGUCAGUCUCCAUGAUGACCAUUUUAUCUUCUUUUUAAAAAGCUUUUAGAAUUAUGUGUCUAUGUGCAUGUAGUCUGUGUGUGAUUUUCGUGCACACAUGUUCAGGCACUGUAGGUUAAGGGACUGUUGGCUCCAUUUUUCUUUUAGUUAAACAUUGUCGGACUUUGAUCGUGCCCUUAGCUAGUGGUCCCCUUGUUUGUUUGCUUUUUAAAUGGGUUCUUUGUCAAUACCCUUGUGAAUUACACAUUGUAAAUUGUUUUCGUUGUCCCAAGAAUUGAUUGGCCAUAAAAUGUUUCACGAUUUGUUAACUGACCACAAACUUGUAAAAUAUACCUUCCCCACCAUCAUAAAAAUAACUGUGAGAA
This is a long non-coding RNA of Rattus norvegicus (Norway rat), 7223 nucleotides long. RefSeq lists it as uncharacterized. The record is from RefSeq and is a predicted model, not a curated record. NCBI's taxonomy places the organism in Eukaryota, Metazoa, Chordata, Mammalia, Rodentia, Muridae.